GCUGCCACGGCCCCCCUCCGUCUCCUGUAGCGAGAGGAAGAGGACAAGUGGGGUUGGGCUGGGCCUAUUUUUGCUAAAUGGGCCAGGGGUCCAGUAGUUUAGGUCCCCUUUUCUUUUUACUACUAUUUUCCAUUUUCUUUUCUUUUUAAUUAUUUCGCUACUGUUUUGUACUAAUCCUAGAACCAAAUGGCUUUUGUAAAAUGUGGAGCUUUGACAUAUAGAUACGCACUAUACAUUAUUUAGCACCGCCACAAUAAGUUUGAGGAUUAAAUGAAUCCAUUUUAAUUUUGUUUAAAUAGAAAGAUUUAUUUUGGGGCUGUUUCGUCCAGUUUAAAAUAGUUUAAAGACAUUUUAAUAAUUCCAAUAAUGUUGGAUUAUUCAUGAUAAUUAGUUAGUAAUUUUUGGAACCCAACGAACAUUUUUGUUUUACCGCUAGAAAAAUAAUAAUUUUGACUCUAUCAUAAUUCGAAUUUGAAUUCAGUUUGAAACAAGUGAGGUUAGCAAAAUUUUAAUUAUGAUGACUUGACAUCAUUAGCAGGGUUUACUGUAGCUUAACUAUUGGGGUGUCACAAAUCUCCUCCACUACAAGAAAUCUCGUCCCGAGAUUUUAAGAGGUGGAGUAAGGGAGAAAGUUCUGGUCACGAAAUUCUAACGAAUCUUCUCGGUCUUGGUUGCUCUUCUCGAAGAGGUCGAUCCAUUACAUUGAUAUCUUCAUACCUAUGCAUCAAUGCAUCAUGAUGAAGUUGUCGUCCUUUUAUCGGGAACUCCAUCGUACUUAUGAAAGAAUAAGGGGGUAUUCCGGGAGAAUGGACCUCUUCAAGGUUGACUAUCUGGUAGAUAACAACGGGGAAGGUGGCGGAAAGUAACUCUCGAAUUGAAACUUAAGGAGAUAUCGAGAGUAAGGUAAGAAGGUGCAAUAAGAAGUUUCAAGCGAAUACGCAAUCAUUUGUUUCCUGUAACAGAGUGUGGAAGGGAUUCAGAGCAAUGGGCAUAAGUAUUGUUUCGGAUACCAGAAUUGGUGAUCUCUCGAAAGGUGGCUCGUCAAUUACAUACAAAGCCAUGCGUGAGAAAUAACUUUGGAAACAGGGGGUACAGGAGAUUCAGGUUUCGAUCCUGUGGAACUGUGGGUUAUGGGCCCACCAUGUGGGUUAAAAGUAGAAAGGGCGGUAAUGUCUUGCACGAGCAUGUAAGCAAGGCAUGUCAGAGGAUAGCCUAUCAGAAUUGUCGGCAACAACAUCGGUACCAAUGUCGAGGGACGAAGAGAACCGUUUUCCUGCUCGUUGAACGAGGCGGACCAAUAGGCAAAGUUCUCGUCCAUCGGUGGUUACCGGAAUGUCAUCAACAAUAGUAACAUGUUCUUACUGACAGAGUUGUACACCGAGGUGCUUAUAAAGGCAGUGACUUAUUACUGCUUAGAUCAUAUCAACCUCAAGAAGUUUAAACAGAACAAUGGAAAGGAAAAUGUACUUAUCAGAUUAAACAGAACAAUGAAAAGGAAAAAUGUGUUUAAACACAUAAUUCAGGGGUAUAUCCUACCCAAGGAAAAGCAGAGCAUGAUAUCCAUGAUAGGAUAUAAUUGUAGAAAACCAUUUUGGUAAUGGGAGAGAAAUUUCAUGACAUUACCCAAACAACGAUGUUUGGAUAAUUGAUAAGGAAAUUUUUGCAUUGUGCUUCAAAUGCUCUUAUUGAAAAUCAGAGUACCACAAACAUGCUUCGAGAUAGCAUCGACAUGGUCUUCAAGCAAGGUCGGACUUGGAUACCCAAAGGAUUCAUCAGGAACAACUUAUAGAAUAAGUCUUACAAUUUCCUCGUGGAAGAAUGGUUAUCCUUGCUAAAACGGAAGACUUUUAAUAAUAGGUCCUCCGGCCAGGUGUGCUAGGCAUGACGUCACCUUAGAGAUCAAUGUUAUAACUCUUGGAGAUAUGUUCCAACCAUCAUAUCUGACCGAGAUCCAGUUCUGAUUGGCGUCAGGAUAUCACAGACACGGGAUGCCUGAGAAGAGAGGUGCAACACAAAUUGUCGAGAUGACAUUUGUCAGAUCAAAUGGUAUAAUGAUGUAUGCUCAAGGAAAACAUACACAAUUUAACAAUGAUAGAAGGGUGCACCCUGAAAUCUGGAUUGGGUAGCAUGAUCAAUGUUUGAAUGAUGAUUCAAUAAGCAAUAAACUUAGAAUGAAAAUAUCGACCGUUAACUUCAAAUCAAUAGGGUUGCUAGAAGGGCAGAAUCCAAACAGUGCCGUUCACCUGUUGGUGUCCCGCUUAGAAUCGACACGGGGCCAAGAAUUAAUGGUGAUGAUGAGAAGUAUCACUAUACCAGGAACUCUUAAGAGGUGGAGCAAUUCUCAGAACAUUCUUGACAUAAUAGAUGGUAAUACUCCAAGGUAGAUCAUAACACCAGUUGGAUAGAAGGGAACUCAAGGUACUACACGAGACAUGAACAAGUUUGUGUUGGUGGGAAGGCAAUAAAGUUGCCGAUGAUAACACAAAUCAUCAUGGGGCAAGAAGGGUAUUUAUGAUCAAGAAUUUGAUAGAGAUCUCGGAAGAACCCAGAAUGUUGACGAUGAUCAUGACACCUUUGUUGAGAGAUUUCAUGAAGAUGUAAUCGAUCGGCGACGACAUCAAGUCAAAGGAAUGAUGAAGCGAAAGGUUUUUGAAACCAUGGGUACGACAUCAACUCGGAACCAAGCUUGUUGUUCGAGGUGAAUGAUAAGACGAGGAAGAUCGACGUAAGCUUAGCUCAUCAUCGAAAGUUGUGCUUUGAGAAUAAGGACCAGGUGGCAUAGCCUAAAUUUUAGCACAAGAUGAUAGCUGAUCAGGGUAGGAUUGACAUGCUCGAGGACAAACUCAUGAGUAAAGGAGAUUACUAAGAGUUGUUUAAUCAUGGUGCGGACCCGAUUUAGUUAUCGGUGUCCUCGAGUGACUAACAACUCGGAACCAGGAAACAUUGGAAUCGGUGAGGGAUAAUACUCGAUGAAGGCUCAUAAUAAGCAAUAUGGUUCAGUGAUAUUAUCAAGAUACCAGAGGGUAAUACUCCUAGGUAGAGCAAAAUAGAGGGUUGACAAGUGUAUUGAUCUACAGAAGACAAGUGCUUAAACUUGCACGAGAAAUGGUAUUUAAAGGAGAACAUGGUCGGAACCAUGAUUGCAAAGGCCAGAUCCCAGAUAUAAGAUGAACUUAUACCAAAGGAAUAAUUAAUUUAAGAGAAGCUUUAAUGAUAAGAUCUACAUCGUGUCCAUGGGCAUGAUCACAAAGUUCAAGGUUGACUACCACUUCUCCAAUGCAUAACCUUUCAUUCACUUCUCACUUUCAAGGAAGUUGUAGUGUUGAAAUUUUAUCUAGCAAAAUAACAGAAGAGUAUGACUCGUGAAAACUUUCGGGUUCACACGAUUUUAGAGAAGGUAUAGGUUCAACCCAUUGGGGCAUCUUAGAAACAUAUACCACAAGCUUCAAGAGUAAAUAUCACCAGCUCGAAAGCAGAGCAAGGUUGAGCAAGUAGAGGAUACAAUUUACCAAAGGCAUUAUGUACCGAGGGGAGGCUCACAAGGUUAUUGAAUAUGAAGGACGCUGUCGGAUAAAAUCCAUUAAAGGAUCUGCCGGUCCAUAACAGAGCUGAUGUGAGCAUCAGCACACAACCAGAGGAAGUAACAAUGCAAAGGCAUUGGAUUAUAGAAACAACUGACUAAUCCAGAGCUCAAAUGCAAAAGGAAUUAUGAUUUUCAAAUCAAGGGAUCAGAAGCAAUGUUCUGAUUAGAGAUGGAUAAGUUGAAUAGCCUUAGGGGUACAAUCGACGGCAAUUGGAUUGGUUGAGAACCAGCUCAUGUUUAAAAGGACGUCUCAGCCGGAAAGAUAAUUUAAAAGGAUCAACUGAUGAUUGCGUGCAUUCGCACUCAUGUUGAAUCAAUAGGAUCAAAAUGAUGGUGCCUAAGGAUACUAACGAAUAUUGCCCGACAUAUGGAAAGCAUCCAUAAUGCAAGUAGACAAGUAUUGCAGAGCAAUAAGCUACUAAGGAUUUCUGGAGGAUCGAACAGUAUUUCGUAGACCAUUGUGAAACACAUGAACAACUGGGGGAUGAGCGGAUACUCGAUAAGGGCGAAAAAUUAUCCGUAGGGGUAUUCAUGUGGCAAAGAAUUGCAAGGCAGUAGGCACAUAACAUUCUCGGAACAAUAGAGAGGAUUUCAGGGUAUAUAUAAUAACAAGAUCAACUGGGAAUAAAAGUAAGAACGGCAAGUGUAUGUAUUUAUCCAUAGGGAUAUUUCGGUGGUAGAGAAUUGCAAAAGCAACGGGCACAAAGUCUCAAAAGAGUAUCGGAGAGUAACUUCAAAAUCUCCUGGUGCAGCAGGCGAUCAUCUGGACUGAAGGGGCUCUCCGGGAGAAAUUGUUUUCGAGAACCUAAAGUUAGAUUUUUAGAAAAUCAUUUAACCCGAAUAGGGGAGAGAUUAGAGUCCCAGAGUAAAGAUCGAGGAGUAAAAGAUUCUAAUACCACCCAAUGGCGGCGUGGGCCCGUAAGCCACACAACCAUGUUAGUAAAAGUUUUUCAAUGACUAGACUCGACUUUGGCCAAGGAGUUGGAAAGGGGGCUAUCUACAGGCAGUCGGCUCUGAUACCAACUUGUGACGCCCCCGAUUCAACCGUACACUAAUCAUACACGCAAACGUGUACGAUCAAGAUCAGGAACUCACGGGAAGAUAUCACAACACAACUCUACAAAUAAAAUAAGUCAUACAAGCAUCAUAUUACAAGCCAGGGGCCUCGAAGGCUCGAAUACAAGAGCUCGAUCAUAGACGAGUCAGCGGAAGCAACAAUAUCUGAGUACAGACAUAAGUUAAACAAGUUUGCCUUAAGAAGGCUAGCACAAACUGGGAUACCGAUCGAAAGAGGCACAGGCCUCCUGCCUGGGAUCCUCCUAACUACUCCUGGUCAUCGUCAGCGGGCUGCACGUAAUAGUAGGCACCUCCUGAGUAGUAGUAGUCGUCAUCAAUGGUGGCGUCUGGCUCCUGGACUCCAACGUCUGGUCGCAGCAAUCGGAUAUAGGAAAUGGGAAAAAAAGAGGAGAAAAACAACCGUGAGUACUCAUCCAAAGUACUCGCAAGCAAGGAGCUAUACUACAUAUGUAUGCAUUGGUAUCAAAUGGAUUAAGGGUAUCAUAUUUGGACUGAACUGCAGAAUGCCGGAAUAAGAGGGGGAUAGCUAGUCCUUUCGAAGACUACGCUUCUGUAACCUCCAUCUUGCAGCAGGAGAAGAGGGUAGCUGGUAAGUUCACCAAGUAGCAUCGCAUAGCAUAAUCCUAACCGAUAAUCCUCCCCUCGUCGCCCUGUGAGGGAGCGAUCACCGGUUGUAUCUGGCACUUGGAAGGGUGUGUUUUAUUAAGUAUCCGGUUCUAGUUGUCAUAAGGUCAAGGUACAACUCCAAGUCGUCCUGUUACCGAAGAUCACGGCUAUUCGAAUAGAUUAACUUCCCUGCAGGGGUGCACCACAUAUCCCAACACACUCGAUCCCAUUUGGCCGGACACACUUUCCUGGGUCAUGCCCGGCCUCAGAAGAUCAACACGUCGCAGCCCUACCUAGGCACAACAGAGAGGUCAGCACGCCGGUCUAAAUCCUAUGGCGCAGCGGUCUGGGCCCAUCGCCCAUUGCACACCUGCACGUUGCGUACGCGGCCGGAAGCAGAACUAGCCCCCUUAAUACAAGAGCAGGCUUACGGUCCAAUCCGGCGCGCGCCACUCAGUCGCUGACGUCAUGAAGGCUUUGGCUGAUACCACGACGUCGAGUGCCCAUAACUGUCCCCGCGUAGAUGGUUAGUGCGUAUAGGCCAGUAGCCAGACUCAGAUCAAAUACCAAGAUCUCGUUAAACGUGUUAAGUAUCCGCGAACACCGCCUAGGGCCGGGCCCACCUCUCUCCUAGGUGGUCUCAACCUGCCCUGUCGCUCCGCCACAAAGUAACAGUCGGGGGCCGUCGGGAACCCAGGCCACCUCUACCGGGAUGGAGCCACCUGCCCCUUCAGCCCUCAACUCCGAACAGUACCACAUGUAAUGUAACUGUGUAAAGUAUAUAGUAUAUGCCCGUGAUCACCUCCCGAAAUGAUCACGGCCCAGUAGUAUAGCAUGGCAGACGGACAAGAGUGUAGGGCCACUGAUGGAACACUAGCAUCCUAUACUAAGUAGUAGGAUAGCAGGUAAUGGUAACAACAGUAGUAGCAAGGACAGGCUAUGCAUCAGGAUAGGAAUAAUGGAAAGCAGUAACAUGCUACACUACUCUAAUGCAAGCAGUAUAGAGAAGAGUAGGCGAUAUCUGGUGAUCAAAGGGGGGGGCUUGCCUGGUUGCUCUGGCAAGAGAGAGUGGUCGUCAACAGCGUAGUCGAUCGGGGCACCAGCAGCUACGUCAGUCUCGUAGUCUAUCGGAGAGAAGAGGGGGAAGAAACAAUGAAUAUAAUGCAAACAGAUGCAUGUCGAUGCAUGACAUGACAAGUAGCGGUGCUAGGGGUGCCCUAACACGGUAUGAGGUGGUACUGGUGAAGGGGGGAAACAUCCGGGAAAAUAUCUCCAGUGUUUUGCGUUUCCGGAUAGAUGAACCAGAGGGGGAAAGUUGCGUGUUCGCUAUGCUAGGGAUGUGUGGUGGACGAACGGGCUGCGUAUCCAGAUUUGUCUCGUCGUUCUGAGCAAUUUUCAUAUAUAAAACUUUUUCAUCAGAAAAUUACGGUUUAUUUUAUUUGAUUUAUUAAAGUUUUAAUUGAUUUUCUAAGACUAUUAUUAUUUCAAAAAAAUAGUAAAUCCUACGGGUACACCAAAGUGUACCCCACAUUAUGCACAUGUGGCUGAUAAAUGGGGCUAGAGGGCCCAGUUGACCAAGUCAACAGGGACUAGUCAACCAAUGAAUAGUAGAAGAGGGUCCGCAUGUCAUUGACUCUAACCUUAGUAGUUUAGGUAAUUUUGCUUAAUUAAUCGCGGGGCCCAUUUGCCAUAGACUCGGUCUUUUUAGACCAACUAAUUAAAGCUAAUCAAUAGAGGGGACCACUUGCCAUUUCUUAUUAUUCUAAUUGAGCACUAAAGUGUUAGUAACUAAGUCUAGACAUACUAAACAAGGGCCGGCCUGGUGGCACAACGUGAGGCUGGUUGUGCACACACGCACACAGCUACACACCACACACGGCCUUGGCCAUGGCCGUGGCCGUGGCCACCAGCAGCAGCAGCAGCCGGCGAUUGCAGGCGGUAGUAGUAGCAGCAAAGCAAUGCUAGCAGCAGCAGCACGCAGCAGAGCAAAGAAGCAACGACGGCAGCGCAAGAGCGGCGGCAGCGGCAAGCAGCGCAGCCGCGGCAUGGGGCAGAGCAGCGAAGCAGCGAGCAGCCACAGCGGUUGGUGAGCAAUAGAAGCCGCGGCGAGGCCGCGCGCGUGCACAGCAGCGGCAGCAACAGCGCAAGAGCAGCAGCAAUACACACGUACGUACAUACGCGUACGCGUGAGCUCCGACGAGCUCGGGGACGGAGGCUACCGCAACGAAUCGAGGGGACAAGCAAGGGGGAAUGGAGGAGGAGCUCACAGAGAGUUCGUGGGCGCGGUCGAGGAAGCCCGGGGUGGACUGGAGCCGUGGGAAUCGUCGAUGGCGGUCGGCGAUGUAUGCGACGGACAACGGCGAUGGCGAGCGUAUGGGGCCUCCCCGGUCAAACCCAACGGCAUAGACGAAGGGGCCGACAGUAGUGAAGCUCCUGGAUGCGUCAGCUUGGCGGGGGAAGACCGGUCGCCGCGAGGACGAGGCGGCGCGGUGGCGAGGCUUCGGGCGAGAGGGCGCGGCGCGAGGAGGAAUGGGGGAGAGGCAGGGGUGUCCUAGGGUUCCUGGGGGAGGGGUGUCGUGGUCUUGUAUGUGAGGGGGAGCCGGCCGAUGGCUGCCACCGCGGCCAUGGUGCCGUGGAUGGCUGCCACGGCCCCCCUCCGUCUCCUGUAGCGAGAGGAAGAGGACAAGUGGGGUUGGGCGGGGCCUAUUUUUGCUAAAUGGGCCAGGGGUCCAGUAGUUUAGGUCCCCUUUUCUUUUUACUACUAUUUUCCAUUUUCUUUUCUUUUUAAUUAUUUCGCUACUGUUUUGUACUAAUUCUAGAACCAAAUGGCUUUUGUAAAAUGUGGAGCUUUGACAUAUAGAUACGUACUAUACAUUAUUUAGCACCGCCACAAUAAGUUUGAGGAUUAAAUGAAUCCAUUUG
This 8188-nucleotide long non-coding RNA is filed under the name Triticum aestivum (bread wheat). Its description in RNAcentral is "long non-coding RNA (TAES_LNC026013)". The record is from RNAcentral. Lineage: Eukaryota; Viridiplantae; Streptophyta; Magnoliopsida; Poales; Poaceae.